RNA transcript from Apis dorsata (giant honeybee), 1703 nucleotides. RefSeq lists it as uncharacterized. Lineage: Eukaryota; Metazoa; Arthropoda; Insecta; Hymenoptera; Apidae. The transcript has 5 exons. The record is from RefSeq and is a predicted model, not a curated record.
UAUCCUCCAUUUCUCGCGCGAAAGUAGUGCCACCAGUGGCGCUACAGCAAAAUAUACAUCUGUCCCUGUGUUAAAUGGUCUUCCCUCCACAUGCGUAUAAACGCAUACUCUGGUGAAUGCACGAAUUCGGAGGUUUCUGGACAAAGGGUGAGCAGAGAAGGGAGGUGUUACGCUUCGUCUGGUCCUCCGUGAGAUUGCACACCGUGACCAACAAACUACCACGGUUUACGGGAUAUAACUCGGGAGGAACGAGCUCGACAAGAGGGAAACGGAAAAUGCGGGAAAAUGGAGAUGGUCAGGAAAGAAUAGUGUAUGUGAGAACAGGGAAACGUACUGGUUCAAGAGGUACAUACAUAGUAUGUGUCACAAGUGCUGGUAUCUUGAAUUUUCAAAAUAAACAAUGUUUUCAACAGAAGAGACACUUGUUCAACCAAAUUGAAAACCACAAGAUUUCUACUAAAUUUACUAAGUAAAUUUUUACUAAAAAUUUGGUUAGAAUUGAUAACCUUAAAAAAUUUGCUUGGUAAAAAAUACAUGGAUAUACUCGCACAAAAUCACUAUUUUUAACGAGAAUAUAGAGAACUAGUAUACGUUUAGGAAACCACGAUUAUUAAACAUUCCAAUUAAAACGAAUCAAUAAGGUUAAUUAGUUCGCAUAAUUCUAGCUGAAUAUGGCGCGCUACGAAAUGCGUGCGGUAAGUUAUCGUGGAAUGCAAUUUAUAUUUAGGUAGGUAACUUUACUGGAACGGUGUAAUUCAUCUCCGUUGCAACUGUGAUAUCAGUGGUUGGCUUUUCGUUUGUCAUAUAAUAGUGGAAAGUGGAAAUCCAAGGAUUUAUGCCCCAGAUGGACAUGUUGAUUGUAUCUUGUGGAAAUCCCACUUUCACUCUCAUCGAGUAACGUGUUCUAACUGGCUCUUCGAGUCUGGCCUGGAAUUGUUGAUCACCUUCGUCGGUCACUGGAAGUAAUAAGUAAAUACGUGCGGUAUUUCGUACACAAAGCGAAGGCAUUCCGCCUCCAGUACAAGUUUAAGGACUUUAUGUGGCAAAUUCCUCGCAUCUAGAGAUGUUUAGCCACGAUAAUCAUUAAACCGAGCAUGAAAUUGCAUAAUUUUCUGUGUACAUUACGAAAAUUACGAUUGGAAACGUAAUUGAAAAUGAUUGACGAAUAACAAAAAGUUUUAAUAAAAAAAAUCGGAUUUUAAUAAUUUAAAAAAAAUAUAUAUAUAAUUUGAAAAAAAGAGUAUUUAUAAUGAAUUGAUGCGAGAAAUGACUAGAAAUUAAGAUUUCCUCGCUUAUUGAUCGAUUUAUCUGAUCACAACUUAUUAUUCUACUCGUUUGACCAAACGAUUAGCAAUAUAAUCUACCAUUAGCCGAACUAAUGGUUGACCUAUACCUCUUGUCUGGCCCAGCAAAUGCUAUUUAUCUGAUCAAAUGAUCGAUAUAUUAUCGGCCCGACCAAAGGUUAACCUAUACUACUUGAUUGACCAAAUGAUUGAAGAUGCAAUAUUGGUUAAUAUCCAACUCUGAUUUAAAAAUAUAAAAGUAGCGAGAGUGGUUGACUUGUUCUAUUUAUUCGGUUAUGCAAUUAAGGAUAUGAAAUUGGUUUAGCAAAUAGUUGACCUGUACUACUUGGUAAGAAUACUUGUAUUUGCUUGAAAAUAGUACAGAAUGAAAUUCAAUACAAAAUUAUAUGAAAGAGAAUA